CCUACGGGCGGCUGCAGUGGGGAAUAUUGCACAAUGGGCGCAAGCCUGAUGCAGCCAUGCCGCGUGUGUGAAGAAGGCCUUCGGGUUGUAAAGCACUUUCAGCGGGGAGGAAGGCGGUGAGGUUAAUAACCUCAUCGAUUGACGUUACCCGCAGAAGAAGCACCGGCUAACUCCGUGCCAGCAGCCGCGGUAGUACGGAGGGUGCAAGCGUUAAUCGGAAUUACUGGGCGUAAAGCGCACGCAGGCGGUCUGUCAAGUCGGAUGUGAAAUCCCCGGGCUCAACCUGGGAACUGCAUUCGAAACUGGCAGGCUAGAGUCUUGUAGAGGGGGGUAGAAUUCCAGGUGUAGCGGUGAAAUGCGUAGAGAUCUGGAGGAAUACCGGUGGCGAAGGCGGCCCCCUGGACAAAGACUGACGCUCAGGUGCGAAAGCGUGGGGAGCAAACAGGAUUAGAUACCCCAGUAGUC
Molecule: ribosomal RNA, 465 nt
Filed under: uncultured Klebsiella sp.
Lineage: Bacteria; Pseudomonadati; Pseudomonadota; Gammaproteobacteria; Enterobacterales; Enterobacteriaceae
Description: bacterial SSU rRNA
Rfam family: Bacterial small subunit ribosomal RNA
Source: RNAcentral